CAAAGUAUAGCUUAAC
RNAcentral lists this transfer RNA (16 nucleotides) under Flectonotus pygmaeus (Puerto Cabello treefrog). RNAcentral describes it as "partial tRNA-Val". Lineage: Eukaryota; Metazoa; Chordata; Amphibia; Anura; Hemiphractidae. The record is from RNAcentral.